UAUUCAAAAUGGAGGAAGUUAUUGUUUUCCCAUAAAUCACCUAGUUUAGUCAGUUCUGGGUGAUUUGUGUUUGAAAAAAUCUUCCAUCACAGAUGCAGGGAAGGGAGAAAAGAGCUUCCAGACUUUUCCUCCUUUUGUAUGCCAGGCACUGUGCAAAACAAUCUACUUUUAUUAACUCAUUUAAUCUCUACAACAAGCUGAUGAAGAAUAUCUGAGAUGCAAAAGAUGAGGAAGCUGAAGAUUAGAGGUAGUUAUUGCUUGUGGUUAAUAGUUAAGAAGGGCAGAGCCAGAACUUUUUCUGAUUUCCCGUGUCUCCCAACUAUUCCAUGCUGUCUCCCAGGGAAAAUCAAGGGUCAGAGAAUAUUUCAUUCUGACGUCAGUUAAAGAUUGAAGUAAGGCUGUUGGGUUACUUCACCAGGAGCCGUAGAACACCGAGAGAGUUAGAAAACUAGAAAACUGUGAUCCAGUCAUACAUUAUCUUAAAAACGAACAAAACUUUAUCAAAGUUCCUAAAUUAUUCCCUGCUUAGAAAAAUAAUAAAGAUUUCUCUUAGAUAACUACAAUUAUAUUUUCAGUGACAUACAAGGAUGAUGGCAGAUCUUAACUCAAUUGAGUGUUUUGCUAUUCACUCUCCUUUUCUUGAUGCCGUCGCACUACUUAAUCUGGCAAACUUGCAGUGACACUAUUUGACCAGAAUUCCCUUCAGGCAUCGCGCUCAGAUUUGUGUUUAAUUUUGAACCAAGUUCUGUUGGCCUGAUGACCGGGCGUGACUCUUUUCUCUCAUCAGCCAUGCCAUCAAAAGCUUCUUGAGCUGUGUAGGAAAUUAACUAAUGCCCACUACACCCAGUGUGUUCCAAACAUUGAAAUGACAGUUGUCUUAAUUUCUUAAGGGUAGCAUACCUAAGGGAAAAAAGAAACAGUUUCUAAAGAACACGGUUAAAAAAAAUAUGUUAAUACUCCUAGUCCAAUUUCCUACUUCCGUGAGAGAACAAACAUAAGCACAAACACCUGAUGCUCUCCAGGCCAAGCCCUGGGACUUAACACCCUCUUUCAGUUUCUUGCUCCAGCAUUUGACAGUCCUGCU
Molecule: long non-coding RNA, 1084 nt
Filed under: Equus asinus (donkey)
Lineage: Eukaryota; Metazoa; Chordata; Mammalia; Perissodactyla; Equidae
Description: lncRNA (ENSEASG00005033551.1)
Source: RNAcentral